RNAcentral lists this long non-coding RNA (376 nucleotides) under Homo sapiens (human). RNAcentral's name for it is "non-protein coding lnc-BBS5-2:1". The record is from RNAcentral. Lineage: Eukaryota; Metazoa; Chordata; Mammalia; Primates; Hominidae.
CAUUGGGAAUCACCAGCAGGGCGGGAGUGGGAGGCACUGGGGUGGAGAAAAGGGGGGAGUCAGAUCGAGAGAAACAGCGUUGCUAAGCCACUUGCUUUGAUAGAGACAGCAAUUUUCCUUUUUCUCCAUCAGGACCUUGACUGGGCCUCCAGGGGCCUCGAGGAAUUAAGGGCUGGUAGUACCAGGGAAUGGUGAUGAGCUGAGGAUGCCCCUUCUUAGCACCCAUGGUGACAUCUGUCCAUUCAUUUAUUCAAUGUAUAUUCAUUUAUUUAGCCCUUUUCUGGACACUAGGGAAAGCAAUGGAUAAAAGAGAUGAAAAUCCCUGCCCUUGUGCCAUUUACAUCUUAGGGAAGGGAAGAUAAUAAGUAAGGAAAUA